This 452-nucleotide ribosomal RNA is filed under the name uncultured organism. RNAcentral's name for it is "partial 16S ribosomal RNA". It matches the Rfam family "Bacterial small subunit ribosomal RNA", at positions 330 to 798 of the family's 1533-position model. The record is from RNAcentral.
CGUACACUCCUGCGGGAGGCAGCAGUGGGGAAUAUUGGACAAUGGGCGCAAGCCUGAUCCAGCCAUGCCGCGUGAGUGAUGAAGGCCCUAGGGUUGUAAAGCUCUUUCACCGGUGAAGAUAAUGACGGUAACCGGAGAAGAAGCCCCGGCUAACUUCGUGCCAGCAGCCGCGGUAAUACGAAGGGGGCUAGCGUUGUUCGGAUUUACUGGGCGUAAAGCGCACGUAGGCGGACUAUUAAGUCAGGGGUGAAAUCCCGGGGCUCAACCCCGGAACUGCCUUUGAUACUGGUAGUCUUGAGUUCGAGAGAGGUGAGUGGAAUUCCGAGUGUAGAGGUGAAAUUCGUAGAUAUUCGGAGGAACACCAGUGGCGAAGGCGGCUCACUGGCUCGAUACUGACGCUGAGGUGCGAAAGCGUGGGGAGCAAACAGGAUUAGAAACCCCUGUAGUCCCAU